AUUGAACGCUGGCGGCAUGCUUUACACAUGCAAGUCGAACGGCAGCGGGGUAGUGCUUGCACUACUGCCGGCGGGUGGCGAACGGGUGAGUAAUAUAUCGGAACGUACCGAGUAAUGGGGGAUAACCAAUCGAAAGAUUGGCUAAUACCGCAUACGUCCUACGGGAGAAAGCGGGGGAUCGCAAGACCUCGCGUUAUUCGAGCGGCCGAUAACUGAUUAGCUAGUUGGUGGGGUAAAGGCCUACCAAGGCGACGAUCAGUAGCGGGUCUGAGAGGACGAUCCGCCACACUGGGACUGAGACACGGCCCAGACUCCUACGGGAGGCAGCAGUGGGGAAUUUUGGACAAUGGGGGGCAACCCUGAUCCAGCCAUGCCGCGUGUAUGAAGAAGGCCUUCGGGUUGUAAAGUACUUUUGUUAGGGAAGAAAAGGGAAGUGCUAAUACCACUUUUUGCUGACGGUACCUAAAGAAUAAGCACCGGCUAACUACGUGCCUGCAGCCGCGGUAAUACGUAGGGUGCGAGCGUUAAUCGGAAUUACUGGGCGUAAAGCGAGCGCAGACGGUUAUUUAAGCAGGAUGUGAAAUCCCCGGGCUUAACCUGGGAACUGCGUUCUGAACUGGAUAGCUAGAGUGUGUCAGAGGGGGGUAGAAUUCCACGUGUAGCAGUGAAAUGCGUAGAGAUGUGGAGGAAUACCGAUGGCGAAGGCAGCCCCCUGGGAUAACACUGACGUUCAUGCUCGAAAGCGUGGGUAGCAAACAGG
RNAcentral lists this ribosomal RNA (760 nucleotides) under uncultured Eikenella sp. RNAcentral describes it as "bacterial SSU rRNA". It matches the Rfam family "Bacterial small subunit ribosomal RNA", at positions 28 to 776 of the family's 1533-position model. Lineage: Bacteria; Pseudomonadati; Pseudomonadota; Betaproteobacteria; Neisseriales; Neisseriaceae. The record is from RNAcentral.